CUACGACUCGCACGCAGCUCGGGACCCUGAGGUCCCAGAAGCGCACCGUCUUGUCUUGAGAGCCAGAAGCGAUCAUCCAGCCUCCCCAUGUGUACAGAGACAGGAUGUGACCUGCACAGAAAGAAAUAAAGACUCCUGUAAAAGAUGUGACGUCCAUCAGCGUACCUGUGUGUCCACUGAGCGCGUGCAGCCCCUGUCCUCUCUGGCAGUCGGUGGUGUAGAUGUUACAGUCUCCGGCUCCAGCACUGAUCAGGAUGGCACCUCCACUUUCUGGCCCCUCCAUGAAGGCCAGGUCCCUUAUGGUCCCAUCAUGCAUGCUGAACUCCAGGUCUGGUCCUGAGAUGUGAAGACACGAGAUUCAAAUCUGCGGCUCAAAGAAACAAAUUGUGUUUUAUUAUUGUGUGUGUGGCUGACCUGUAGCGUUGCACGUCUCUGCACUGAAAGGCAGGACUUUGACGUAUUUGUCAUUGGAGCCUGUGGCCAACAGCUGUCCACAGGGACUCCAGGCCACACAGUAGAUGGAGCCUUUGUGGUGUUUGUUCCUUUUGAAGCGAACAGCCGGUUGUUUAAGUGAACUUGAGCUUCUACUGAGAAAGAAAAAUGGAUAAAAGAAAAAAAA
Long non-coding RNA from Oryzias melastigma (Indian medaka), 619 nucleotides. RefSeq lists it as uncharacterized. The record is from RefSeq and is a predicted model, not a curated record. The transcript is spliced from 2 exons. Lineage: Eukaryota; Metazoa; Chordata; Actinopteri; Beloniformes; Adrianichthyidae.